AAUGGUAGAGGCGCGGCAGCGAAGAGUAUCCGAGCAGCAGGACGGGCAAUCCUCCGGAGAAAGGCGCGGCCGCCGAAGGGCUGUCCGGUGCCCCUUGCGGACAGUUGCCUGGGCUGUGGGACAAUAUCCCCCAGACUGCCACAUAGCUUGUGGAGCGUUAUC
Molecule: non-coding RNA, 162 nt
Filed under: uncultured Dysosmobacter sp.
Lineage: Bacteria; Bacillati; Bacillota; Clostridia; Eubacteriales; Oscillospiraceae
Description: Lysine riboswitch
Rfam family: Lysine riboswitch aptamer
About the family: Riboswitches are metabolite binding domains within certain messenger RNAs that serve as precision sensors for their corresponding targets. Allosteric rearrangement of mRNA structure is mediated by ligand binding, and this results in modulation of gene expression. This family includes riboswitches that sense lysine in a number of genes involved in lysine metabolism, including lysC.
Source: RNAcentral